CAUCCAAUAUCUGACUGAG
RNAcentral lists this unclassified non-coding RNA (19 nucleotides) under Mus musculus (house mouse). Its description in RNAcentral is "oocyte_clustered_small_RNA7459". Lineage: Eukaryota; Metazoa; Chordata; Mammalia; Rodentia; Muridae. The record is from RNAcentral.